CUAUGCGCCUUGCCAGCCCGCUCAGUCAGAGUUUGAUCCUGGCUCAGGAUGAACGCUAGCGAUAGGCUUAACACAUGCAAGUCGAGGGGCAGCACGAGGUAGCUUGCUAUCUGGGUGGCGACCGGCGCACGGGUGCGUAACGCGUAUGCAACUUGCCCUAUACAGGAGGAUAACCCGUCGAAAGACGGACUAAUACUGCGUAUGCUCACAGCUUGGCAUCAAGUGGUGAGGAAAGAAAUUCGGUAUAGGAUAGGCAUGCGUCCCAUUAGCUUGUUGGUGAGUAACGGCUCACCAAGGCAACGAUGGGUAGGGGAACUGAGAGGUUUAUCCCCACACUGGUACUGAGACACGGACCAG
Molecule: ribosomal RNA, 357 nt
Filed under: uncultured bacterium
Lineage: Bacteria
Description: bacterial SSU rRNA
Rfam family: Bacterial small subunit ribosomal RNA
Source: RNAcentral